AUUAGAAGGGGCACUCCGUCCCCCUCAAGUCGAGCACUGGUUAUCAGCCCGCAUAGGGUCUGCCAACCCCAACCGUAAUGAAUGUAAUGACGAAGUAAGGAAUGAAAAAAUAGUUUUUCAAAACGCUCGUAGCGAGUUAGCACUCGCAUAGGUAACGGAUUAUUUGAUCUAAUCCGAUAGUUAUUACUUGUCGGGUACUAACGUAAGUUGUGACGCAGCUACUCGUCACCGAAAGACAUAAUUUCGUCUAAGUUAUUUGUAAGCAAUUUAUAUAGUAUUUGAAAAAAAACACCUUGCACUUAGUGUAUGUGUCGCGCCCGAUGCACAUUAUUCGGAAAGUAACGCGUAACUAGGAUUUUGUCAUUAUCCAACCUGUAUACCACAACAUACGUAUUAUCGUAGCAUGCGUUCAUCGACGUACCGUAAAUCGUAUACCCUUCGGUCGUAAAACCGAUAAUUCGGGUAAACGACAUAAGGGGUACUCUGCACUCUGCAGAAAAACAAUAUCCACUCGCAAAACGAACGCGAAAUUAAUUGCUCUACGUGGUACUAUCCUUUAUUUGACAAAAGUUCGGCACGAUGAAAAAAUAAUGGUAAAAUGAUAUUGCCGUCCAAAUGUGUUUGGAUGUUCUCCGAGGUGAUUCUCUUUGUAAUGUUCUCGUCGUAUAAGGAGACCUAAGGGUAUUUUUGUAUUCGACCGAAUUCAAACCAAGUAUUUUAUAUCGUUUGAUCGGCUCUCGUUUAAUAUCAUGAAAUUAAAUCGAACAGCAAAUACUCUACACGAAACGAAUGUAACAUUUAUUUUUCAUGAAUCAUUACGCGUUAUCGGAGACGUCUAAUCUUAAUACAACCCAAAGUUCAUUCUUAAUAUUUACCGAUUGUACACGGACCCCGUGAACUUCAUUCCCAUUGCAAUACCGUUAUUGAUUCCGACUGUAUAUUCUAUAGGUUGUUUAAUACUGUAUGGUUUUAGUGAUUAGCUCGUUUGAAAAUAAUAAACGUAUAGUUUCGUUUUUCGUAUACUCAUAUACAUUUAUAUGUGUGUCGGUUUAAAUGUUGUCCAUACCAUUUUUGAAACAGAAUCAGUGUUUUAAAAUUUUCUUGGAAAAUAUUUUGUUGUGUGCGACGUCAGUAGGUAAGCGAACCACGCCAACGCUAGGACGAAAUAAGUGAGAUGAACUUAAGUGGGUUUACGUUUACCGUGUCUUUAUUUUAUUUUCAAUUAGCCAACGUUUGGACAGACGAGAGAAUAAUUUCUACAAAUUCAACUCUAGAAAAUAUAUAUUUCAAAAUAUUUAAAACUAGCCGUGAUUUAAUUGGCAAUACUAUAACAGAACCAAUAUUAGAAGAAAAUAAAAAAGUAAUGAUAGGUAAUAGUUUGAACGAUAGUAAAAAAAAUGUUCGCUAUUACGAGAGUUUGUCUACCCGCGAAAAAGAAAUUUUUGAGUCAAAAAUAGGCGUAUUACUCGAAAUGUAUUCGAAAUUGAAAGACUUAAUGUUUCACGACGUAAGGAGUUUUUUCAACUUUCUGCGUGGCAAAUGGUCAUACUACUCUUUAGAUAGAUUGCUCAGAGUAAACAUAGACACGUUCAGAGACGCAAAAUAUAAAAUCUUUGAUGUUGUUCAACAAACUAACUCUUAAUUCAUGAACUGGAGAAGGAACAAUUAAACGUGAUAUAAAUGCAGUACGACACGAAUAAAUAAUUGGUAUUAUACCGGAUUAAAAAAAAAAAAUACUAACAUUUCAUUAUUAUUAUAAACUCAGGGUAUAAAAAUCUGGCAAUUAGUAUUUACAUUCAUCCAUCAGUUAAUUAAUGUUUGUAAGUUAACAAUUUUCUUAUAGUAUAUCACCAUUAAUCAAGCUAAAAGUGGAUUGUUUUUUUCAGUAAUUUUACCAUUAUUUAUGUAUGAAUAUAAAUAUUUUUUCGACCGUUUUUCAAUAAAUCUUUUCUUUUUUCGAAGCUUCAGUUGACAACAAAAUUAUCAUUGUUGAAUUACUAAUACUACAACACAGUUUGACUACGAAUACGGUAUUUAAGCGUAAUGUUUCUGUGAUUUGCCCGAUGGUGUGUGUGCUUUGGAACAGCUGUGGUAAAUACAACGGAACCGACUUCUGCGAUAUUACUUUCUGGGCGUGAGAAAGACGGCGUCAGGAGGAGAAGCAGGAGGGAGAAGAAAAACCACGCGUGUUUCGUAUGAUAGUACUAUAGAAGGAAAAAUGACUGAUUAAUGUGCGCUAUUUGGCGGUUAUCUCGGGGGUUCCACUUUGAAAAAGAGCUGAUCUGUUUAAGAUUUCCAAAGCUUACGGAAAUAUACAUAUAAGCCCUGUGAACUUUAUUCUAUUAAAUGAUAACGGUGGUAGACGGACGAAAUGUUUUCCGAACUCUUUUUCGACAAAAGACCUUUUGUCGAUCUUUUGAGCGGGGUGCGCCCGAUUACGGAACUAAAAAGCAGCAGCAGCAGAAGCAGUGCCGAUGUAGGCUUGUCGCUGGGCGAAUAUCGUCAUUUCUUCGGACGAAACCCCCAGAGGCCCGUGCACCACCACCGCAGAACCGCAUCAAAGCGACGGAGACAUGGAAAUUAAUUUUCAAAAUUCAAAAAGUUUCCAUAGAGACCCGGCGAUUUGUUAGAGCUGCAGGAUUUUAAUUGUUGAGGGACAAAAACACGCGGAUCGAAAAUGUCUUUCCGUAGUGAAUUCCCCUCGAGAUCAAGAAAUAACCGGUGAGAAACCACAUCAGUCAACCGUGCACAAGACUUUGCGUAUACGAAUUCUACUAUAAAUCCACUUAAAUGUUUGAAUUCAAAAAUAGACGUAUACGCGCGCACUGGCAAUCAUAUAUACAAAUACACACACACACACACACACAUACACAUACGUUACAUUAACAUAAAUCGAUAUAAGACCGUUCAGUCGUACACAAUAUCAACUCAACAACUGUCGUCUGUAUAUAUGUUUUAAAGAUAUUCACGAAAUGCUCUUUUCACCAUCGUGAAUAAUACGACGACAAAUUCGAUGGUGCGAAAGGAAAAACACUCUCUGCCCCGGCACAUCCAUUAUUGCCUAUGUUCAUUGAAAAUCCGGAAUUUAAAAUAAAUCAACAUAUUAUAUAUGUAUAAUAUAUGUAUAUAUAUAUAUAUAUAUAUUACACCCGUGGUGGGUAUAAUAUUGAAUAAAUGGAUUAUCCUUUACAUUUUUUACUAAGCGCGGAAGACACGUACCUAUCUGCAUACUAUAUUAUCAUACACUAAUAUUCUAUACUCCGAAAGCGAAUGGGGGGAGGGAGGCAAUACCUAUAACGUAUUUUUAUUAUGUUAAUAUUUUAUUGAAAUAAGUGAUACGCAAUUCGGAGCAACAAUGUUGUCGAACCGACACGAAAUGAAAUUUUUGUUUUCAAUUCGUAUUUAAUAUGAAUAAAAUAAAGUGUCGAGCACAAAAUUAAUAUUUUAAAAAUUAUAAAUUCAUGCUGAAUUUAACAUAAUUCAUAACUAAUUUUGAAUUUUCCUUCUUAUGUUUUCUAAGGAAAUCGAAAAACGAUAGUUUUAAAGAUUUUUUUCGAUUCGAUUUCGGUCCAAUAAGAUAUCUGAUACUCAUAAGACUUUUAGUACAGUGUUACUUCCCAAUAUCUGAUUAGAGGCUAAAAAACGUAAUUGAAGAAUAAUAAGUACUUCAAAUUCAACCAUUAUUCAUGAUGAUUGAUGAAACGAAAAAAAAUAAUAACUUUAAAUUAGCAUUUGUAUGAAUAUAUUGGUAAUGUUCUUCGAGAAAAUUAUUUAUUUAUACACAUCACAAAGAAAAAAUAGUUCAGCCACUUCAAUAUCCGAUUAAUUAUUGAUACUUAAGUAGUAACGAAACGAACAUACCUAUAACAAAUUUCUCACAAUCGACAUGUUUAAUAAAGUACAAAAAGUUUAAUUUUUUGAUAAAAAAAUUACCUUUUUUUUUUCUACGAUAAACUUUAUAUGCUUUCAUCGUUUUCAUAAGGCCUUACCCGUGCAGCACGAAACAAUACCGAAUCGAAACGGAAGUUUAUUCGGUACACAUUAAUAACAUUCGAAACAGUAUUGUUUUAUGUGUAAAUAAUACGAUACAACUCACACGCACAUACGAUGUAUAUUGGUAGGUUUACUUGAAUUGUACUGUGGACUAUAAAAUCUUCCUUAGUUAAACAAAUACAAUAUAAACACCGAAUUUUAUUUGCAAAACGAGCGUGUAGAUAAAACAACGGUCCAAUAAAAUAUAAGAUUUUUGUAAACGCAGUAUGAUAAUAAACAAUAAUGUUAUAAAUUUACGGGUUCUCGUUUUGCAUACUUAAGCGACUGGGUGCAUUAAAAACUCGAAAUUAUUUUUACGCAACGCACGUAUGUUUAAGUUAUUUUUCAAUUAUUUCAAUUACACUACUGUUUACUGUAUGGACGAAAUAAUAUAUUUUUCAAAUUCACGGUCAACUUUCAAUCCAAUCCAAUAGUUUAUCCGCAUGAGAAACCGUUUAAACCGCUAUUAAAAAUCGCACAAUAUUUCUACACGAGAUUUAAAUUUUCUGUCUAAUGUCUAAGAGAUAUCGUGUGUGCUUUAAUUGAAUUAUUUGAACAAUACUUGGUACAAAACUUACAUUAUAAUAAAGUUUGUUCUGUAUAACCGUAUUGGUGGUUAUCACUAUUAAGUUUAGUUAAACACGGAUCACUCUAAGUUCUGAGUUUAAUUUAUACAUUAACAAUUUUAAUAUUGUUUAUCUAUUUUUAUUAUAGUAGGUACUGUAUAUUAUAUUAGCCUUCUUUAUUAGCUUGUGGUAUUUGGUCUAAAUCAUAGUUCAUACGUAUCGGUGGUAGUUGGGAGUGCAGGUGAGCUUGUGCAACGAUUUCAUAUAUGAAUGAAAAACUGUCAUCAGAUGGUACACAAUAUUUUAUGGAUGGGAUUCGGUAUCAGCACAUGUUAGCUGAGGUGAAUGUUCUAACCACGCUAUUAGUCGGUGCCUUGUUUUGUUCAGGACCACGAAGCCGCAAGAUUUCCGAGAAGAAAAUUAUUAAUAUGACAUAUUUAUAUAAUUAAAAUGCUAUUUAAAUAACUAUCGUAUUUUGUACAAUUGGCGUGAGUGAUCUAUUUGGUAUAAACUAAACGUCUAUCGAUGACAUCUCAAGUAAUCAAAUAAAAUACUUCAAAGUAUAAUAUUUAUGUUGCUGUAUUGAUUCAUAUAAAUUUGAAAUAAUGUACAAUAACAAGUUCUAUAGUUA
This 5229-nucleotide long non-coding RNA is filed under the name Sipha flava (yellow sugarcane aphid). RNAcentral's name for it is "uncharacterized LOC112693588, transcript variant X1". Lineage: Eukaryota; Metazoa; Arthropoda; Insecta; Hemiptera; Aphididae. The record is from RNAcentral.